Molecule: ribosomal RNA, 301 nt
Filed under: uncultured bacterium
Lineage: Bacteria
Description: partial 16S ribosomal RNA
Rfam family: Bacterial small subunit ribosomal RNA
Source: RNAcentral
CAGCCGCCGCGGUAAUACAGAGGGUGCGAGCGUUAAUCGGAUUUACUGGGCGUAAAGCGUGCGUAGGCGGCUAAUUGAGUCGGAUGUGAAAUCCCCGAGCUUAACUUGGGAAUUGCAUUCGAUACUGGUUAGCUAGAGUGUGGGAGAGGAUGGUAGAAUUCCAGGUGUAGCGGUGAAAUGCGUAGAGAUCUGGAGGAAUACCGAUGGCGAAGGCAGCCAUCUGGCCUAACACUGACGCUGAGGUACGAAAGCAUGGGGAGCAAACAGGAUUAGAGACCCCGGUAGUCCCUGUCUCUUAUAC